AUACGUAGGGGGCGAGCGUUGUCCGGAAUUACUGGGCGUAAAGGGUGCGUAGGUGGCAAUUUAAGUUGGAUGUGAAAUCCCCGGGCUUAACCUGGGUGGUGCAUUCAAAACUGGAUAGCUAGAGUGCAGGAGAGGGAAGCGGAAUUCCUAGUGUAGCGGUGAAAUGCGUAGAUAUUAGGAGGAACACCAGUGGCGAAGGCGGCUUUCUGGACUGUAACUGACGCUGAGUCACGAAAGCGUGGGUAGC
RNAcentral lists this ribosomal RNA (247 nucleotides) under uncultured bacterium. RNAcentral's name for it is "partial 16S ribosomal RNA". It matches the Rfam family "Bacterial small subunit ribosomal RNA", at positions 523 to 769 of the family's 1533-position model. The record is from RNAcentral.